This 394-nucleotide ribosomal RNA is filed under the name Escherichia coli. RNAcentral describes it as "bacterial LSU rRNA". It matches the Rfam family "Bacterial large subunit ribosomal RNA", at positions 1 to 425 of the family's 2925-position model. Lineage: Bacteria; Pseudomonadati; Pseudomonadota; Gammaproteobacteria; Enterobacterales; Enterobacteriaceae. The record is from RNAcentral.
GGGUUGUGAGGUUAAGCGACUAAGCGUACACGGUGGAUGCCCUGGCAGUCAGAGGCGAUGAAGGACGUGCUAAUCUGCGAUAAGCGUCGGUAAGGUGAUAUGAACCGUUAUAACCGACGAUUUCCGAAUGGGGAAACCCAGUGUGUUUCGACACACUAUCAUUAACUGAAUCCAUAGGUUAAUGAGGCGAACCGGGGGAACUGAAACAUCUAAGUACCCCGAGGAAAAGAAAUCAACCGAGAUUCCCCCAGUAGCGGCGAGCGAACGGGGAGCAGCCCAGAGCCUGAAUCAGUGUGUGUGUUAGUGGAAGCGUCUGGAAAGGCGCGCGAUACAGGGUGACAGCCCCGUACACAAAAAUACACAUACUGUGAGCUCGAUGAGUAGGGCGGGACAC